UACGGAGGGGGCUAGCGUUGUUCGGAAUUACUGGGCGUAAAGCGCACGUAGGCGGCUUUGUAAGUUAGAGGUGAAAUCCCGGGGCUCAACCUCGGAACUGCCUUUGAUACUGCAAAUCUCGAGUCCGGAAGAGGUGAGUGGAAUUCCUAGUGUAGAGGUGAAAUUCGUAGAUAUUAGGAAGAACACCAGUGGCGAAGGCGGCUCACUGGUCCGGUACUGACGCUGAGGUGCGAAAGCGUGGGGAGCAAACAGG
Molecule: ribosomal RNA, 253 nt
Filed under: uncultured bacterium
Lineage: Bacteria
Description: partial 16S ribosomal RNA
Rfam family: Bacterial small subunit ribosomal RNA
Source: RNAcentral